RNAcentral lists this ribosomal RNA (374 nucleotides) under Nematoda sp. RNAcentral's name for it is "SSU rRNA". It matches the Rfam family "Eukaryotic small subunit ribosomal RNA", at positions 252 to 626 of the family's 1831-position model. Lineage: Eukaryota; Metazoa; Nematoda. The record is from RNAcentral.
CUGAAUAACUACGCCGAUCGCACGGUCUCGCACCGGCGACGCAUCUUUCAAGUGUCUGCCUUAUCAACUUUCGAUGGUAGUUUAUGUGCCUACCAUGGUUGUAACGGGUAACGGAGAAUAAGGGUUCGACUCCGGAGAGGGAGCCUGAGAAACGGCUACCACAUCCAAGGAAGGCAGCAGGCGCGCAAAUUACCCACUCUCGGCACGAGGAGGUAGUGACGAAAAAUAACGAGACGGAUCUCUUUGAGGCCCGUUAUCGGAAUGAGAACAAUUCAAAUCCUUUAACGAGGAUCUAGCGGAGGGCAAGUCUGGUGCCAGCAGCCGCGGUAAUUCCAGCUCCGCAGGUGUAUAUCUAUGCUGCUGCGGUUAAAAAG